This 97-nucleotide signal recognition particle RNA is filed under the name Phycisphaerae bacterium. Its description in RNAcentral is "signal recognition particle sRNA small type". It matches the Rfam family "Bacterial small signal recognition particle RNA". Rfam says of the family: The signal recognition particle (SRP) is a universally conserved ribonucleoprotein involved in the co-translational targeting of proteins to membranes. Archaeal SRP consists of a 7S RNA and homologues of the eukaryotic SRP19 and SRP54 proteins. The record is from RNAcentral. Lineage: Bacteria; Pseudomonadati; Planctomycetota; Phycisphaerae. RNAcentral also lists the same sequence under 1 other name.
GGUCGGGACCGCAGGGCGGUCGACUCGUGAACCUGGUCAGGGCCUGACGGCAGCAGCCAUAAGCGUCGUCGUCCGAGCUUGUGUCAUCCUGGCCGUC